GUGUCAGCCGCCGCGGUAAUACGAAGGGGGCUAGCGUUACUCGGAUUUACUGGGCGUAAAGAGCGCGUAGGCGGUUUGUUAAGUUGGAAGUGAAAGCCCGGGGCUUAACCUCGGAAUUGCUUUCAAAACUGGCAUACUAGAGUUCGGUAGAGGGUGGUGGAAUUUCCAGUGUAGUAGUGAAAUAUGUAGAUAUUGGAAGGAACGCCGGUGGCGAAGGCAGCCCCCUGGGAUAACACUGACGCUCAUGCACGAAAGCGUGGGGAGCAAACAGGAUUAGAUACCCCAGUAGUCC
RNAcentral lists this ribosomal RNA (292 nucleotides) under uncultured Gammaproteobacteria bacterium. RNAcentral's name for it is "partial 16S ribosomal RNA". It matches the Rfam family "Bacterial small subunit ribosomal RNA", at positions 505 to 796 of the family's 1533-position model. Lineage: Bacteria; Pseudomonadati; Pseudomonadota; Gammaproteobacteria. The record is from RNAcentral.